UGAAAUAGGCCGGGUAAGGAUUUGGAACGUUUGCCUGUGUUUGCUCCUAGGGGCGCUGUUCCAACUGCAUACAAAUUUGAGUUA
Molecule: microRNA precursor, 84 nt
Filed under: Bombyx mori (domestic silkworm)
Lineage: Eukaryota; Metazoa; Arthropoda; Insecta; Lepidoptera; Bombycidae
Description: mir-2807 microRNA precursor family
Rfam family: mir-2807 microRNA precursor family
Source: Rfam by way of RNAcentral